CCCUUAGAUGUUCUGGGCUGCACGCGCGCGACAAUGACGUUUGCAACGAGAUUGCGAGGCCGUCAGGUCGAGCUGAUCUUGCAAGCUGCGUCGUGAUAGGGACAGUCGAUUGCAAUUAUUCGACUCGAACGAGGAAUUCCUUGUAAUCGCGCAUCAUCAGUGCGCGCUGAAUACGUCCCUGCCCUUUGUACACACCGCCCGUCGCGCCUACCGAUUGAGUGAUCCGGUGAAUGUUUUGGAUCGGCUUCAAGUUGGUUCGCGCCUCUUGCUUGCUGUGAAAUCAUGUAAACCUUAUUGCUUAGAGGAAGGAGAAGUCGUAACA
Molecule: ribosomal RNA, 322 nt
Filed under: uncultured eukaryote
Lineage: Eukaryota
Description: partial 18S ribosomal RNA
Rfam family: Eukaryotic small subunit ribosomal RNA
Source: RNAcentral